Molecule: ribosomal RNA, 454 nt
Filed under: uncultured bacterium
Lineage: Bacteria
Description: bacterial SSU rRNA
Rfam family: Bacterial small subunit ribosomal RNA
Source: RNAcentral
UACGGAAGGCAGCACUGGGGAAUAUUGCACAAUGGGCGAAAGCCUGAUGCAGCUAUGCCGCGUGUAUGAAGAAGGCCUUAGGGUUGUAAAGUACUUUCAUCGGGGAGGAAAAACAAAACUAAUAAUUUUAUUUCUUGACGUUACCCGAAAAAGAAGCACCGGCUAACUCCGUGCCAGCAGCCGCGGUAAUACGGAGGGUGCUAGCGUUAAUCAGAAUUACUGGGCGUAAAGAGCACGUAGGUGGUUUUUUAAGUCAGAUGUGAAAUCCCUGGGCUUAACCUAGGAACUGCAUUUUGAAACUGAAAUACUAGAGUAUCGUAGAGGGAGGUAGAAUUCUAGGUGUAGCGGUGAAAUGCGUAGAUAUCUGGAGGAAUACCUGUGGCGAAAGCGGCCUCCUAAACGAAUACUGACACUGAGGUGCGAAAGCGUGGGGAGCAAACAGGGAUUAGAUACC